RNAcentral lists this ribosomal RNA (339 nucleotides) under uncultured Bacillus sp. RNAcentral describes it as "bacterial SSU rRNA". It matches the Rfam family "Bacterial small subunit ribosomal RNA", at positions 986 to 1324 of the family's 1533-position model. The record is from RNAcentral. Lineage: Bacteria; Bacillati; Bacillota; Bacilli; Caryophanales; Bacillaceae.
AUCCUCUGACACCCUAGAGAUAGGGCGUUUUCCUUCGGGGGAACAGAGUGACAGGUGGUGCAUGGUUGUCGUCAGCUCGUGUCGUGAGAUGUUGGGUUAAGUCCCGCAACGAGCGCAACCCUUGAUCUUAGUUGCCAGCAUUCAGUUGGGCACUCUAAGGUGACUGCCGGUGACAAACCGGAGGAAGGUGGGGAUGACGUCAAAUCAUCAUGCCCCUUAUGACCUGGGCUACACACGUGCUACAAUGGAUGGAACAAAGGGUCGCGAAGCCGCGAGGUCGAGCCAAUCCCAUAAAUCCAUUCUCAGUUCGGAUUGCAGGCUGCAACUCGCCUGCAUGAA